UACGAGGGGAGCGAGUGUUGUUCGGAUUUAUUGGGCGUAAAGGGAGUGUAGGUGGGUAUCUAAGUCAGAGGUGUAAUCCCAGGGCUCAACCCUGGACUUGCCUCUGAGACUGGAUAUCUUGAGUAUGGGAGAGGACGAUGGAAUUCCUGGUGUAGCGGUGGAAUGCGUAGAUAUCAGGAGGAACACCAAUAGCGUAGGCAGUCGUCUGGAACAAUACUGACACUGAAACUCGAAAGCGUGGGGAG
This 245-nucleotide ribosomal RNA is filed under the name uncultured bacterium. RNAcentral describes it as "partial 16S ribosomal RNA". It matches the Rfam family "Bacterial small subunit ribosomal RNA", at positions 524 to 768 of the family's 1533-position model. The record is from RNAcentral.